UGGCGUAAUGAUGGCCAGGCUGUCUCCACCCGAGACUCAGUGAAAUUGAACUCGCUGUGAAGAUGCAGUGCACCCGCGGCAAGACGGAAAGACCCCGUGAACCUUUACUAUAGCUUGACACUGAACAUUGAGCCUUGAUGUGUAGGAUAGGUGGGAGGCUUUGAAGUGUGGACGCCAGUCUGCAUGGAGCCGACCUUGAAAUACCACCCUUUAAUGUUUGAUGUUCUAACGUGGACCCGUGAUCCGGGUUGCGGACAGUGUCUGGUGGGUAGUUUGACUGGGGCGGUCUCCUCCUAAAGAGUAACGGAGGAGCACGAAGGUUGGCUAAUCCUGGUCGGACAUCAGGAGGUUAGUGCAAUGGCAUAAGCCAGCUUGACUGCGAGCGUGACGGCGCGAGCAGGUGCGAAAGCAGGUCAUAGUGAUCCGGUGGUUCUGAAUGGAAGGGCCAUCGCUCAACGGAUAAAAGGUACUCCGGGGAUAACAGGCUGAUACCGCCCAAGAGUUCAUAUCGACGGCGGUGUUUGGCACCUCGAUGUCGGCUCAUCACAUCCUGGGGCUGAAGUAGGUCCCAAGGGUAUGGCUGUUCGCCAUUUAAAGUGGUACGCGAGCUGGGUUUAGAACGUCGUGAGACAGUUCGGUCCCUAUCUGCCGUGGGCGCUGGAGAACUGAGGGGGGCUGCUCCUAGUACGAGAGGACCGGAGUGGACGCAUCACUGGUGUUCGGGUUGUCAUGCCAAUGGCACUGCCCGGUAGCUAAAUGCGGAAGAGAUAAGUGCUGAAAGCAUCUAAGCACGAAACUUGCCCCGAGA
This 808-nucleotide ribosomal RNA is filed under the name Salmonella enterica. Its description in RNAcentral is "partial 23S ribosomal RNA". It matches the Rfam family "Bacterial large subunit ribosomal RNA", at positions 1997 to 2804 of the family's 2925-position model. The record is from RNAcentral. Lineage: Bacteria; Pseudomonadati; Pseudomonadota; Gammaproteobacteria; Enterobacterales; Enterobacteriaceae.